GGCCUGGCCUAGAAACACUUACAAAACCAGACAUCACCCGAAACAUAUUAGGAAAGUAGUCAGCUGAAAAGUUCAGCUUGAGCUACCAAGAAAAUCAUCAAUCUUUCCUUAAAAUUCCGAAAAUACGGAGCUACCAUCUAAGAAAGAUGAAGGUCAUCAUCUGAAUUGAUACUUGGGGUUCUUGAUUGUUGAAAUCUCGAUGAAAUCCAACAAACUCCAUUCUUAUACUUGAAUUGCUUCAAAGUUUUAACGCUUAAACUUCGAUCUCGCUACACGGCUAAUAGACGUUUGAGAUUCACCUGUCAACCUAGCACUGUUGACAGAUCCGAGUGCACAUGCAAAUAUCCACGUCUUGAUUUUGUAUCUUUGAACACCCUAAACUCUCACUAGUAGAAGCUAAUAUGAUAGAGAACCAACAAGAAUGGAAGCAAAGGAGUUGAAAUCAGAAGUAGAUAGAGGCAAAAGUGUGUCUGACGACAUUUCUGAUAAGUCGUCAGCCUUGUGAUAAGCUAUCAGAUUCAUCGUUAGACAUAAACAGAGAAUUGACCUAAGAUUGAAAGCUGUGAUGAUAUUUUGUGAUAGGUCGUUAAGGAUCUGAUAAGCUAUCAAGAAUGUCGUCAGCCUGAGGCAGCACAGGAGAACUGAAGCAGCGCCUUGACGACAUUUUGUGAUAGGUCGUCAAGGAGUUGAUAAGUCAUCAAGAUUGUGGUCAGCCUUAAGCAGGAAGAGCCAAAAUUGAAGAAGGAGCUGACAACAUUUGUGAUAAGUCAUCAGCCUCUUGAUAAGCUAUCACAAAUGUCGUCACCUAAUUCAAAGAAUUUCUGAAUUUUAUUAUUUUGUUUCCAUAAUUAGGGUGAACUAUUUAAAGCCCUGUUUAGGGUUUUCUUAGGGGUUUCGCACAUUGAGUUUUGACAAUACUUUUGAUAUUUUCUCUCUAAUUUCUUGGCUCGAAAAAGCAAAUAUUUUGAAAAGAUUAUUAUCAUUAUUUUGGGAUUUCCUUUGUGAUAUAAUUUGAGAAUCUCUAGUUUCUAUUCA
This is a long non-coding RNA of Capsicum annuum, 1035 nucleotides long. RefSeq lists it as uncharacterized. The record is from RefSeq and is a predicted model, not a curated record. Lineage: Eukaryota; Viridiplantae; Streptophyta; Magnoliopsida; Solanales; Solanaceae. The transcript has 3 exons.